UACGUAGGGUGCGAGCGUUGUCCGGAAUUAUUGGGCGUAAAGAGCUCGUAGGCGGUCUGUCGCGUCGAAUGUGAAAACCCGGGGCUCAACUCCGGGCUUGCAUUCGAUACGGGCAGGCUAGAGUUCGGUAGGGGAGACUGGAAUUCCUGGUGUAGCGGUGAAAUGCGCAGAUAUCAGGAGGAACACCGGUGGCGAAGGCGGGUCUCUGGGCCGAUACUGACGCUGAGGAGCGAAAGCGUGGGGAGCAAACAGG
RNAcentral lists this ribosomal RNA (253 nucleotides) under uncultured bacterium. Its description in RNAcentral is "partial 16S ribosomal RNA". It matches the Rfam family "Bacterial small subunit ribosomal RNA", at positions 524 to 776 of the family's 1533-position model. The record is from RNAcentral.